This 805-nucleotide ribosomal RNA is filed under the name Oerskovia sp. RNAcentral describes it as "bacterial SSU rRNA". It matches the Rfam family "Bacterial small subunit ribosomal RNA", at positions 23 to 837 of the family's 1533-position model. The record is from RNAcentral. Lineage: Bacteria; Bacillati; Actinomycetota; Actinomycetes; Micrococcales; Cellulomonadaceae.
CUCAGGACGAACGCUGGCGGCGUGCUUAACACAUGCAAGUCGAACGGUGAUGACCAGCUUGCUGGUCGGAUCAGUGGCGAACGGGUGAGUAACACGUGAGUAACCUGCCCCAGACUCUGGGAUAAGCCUUGGAAACGAGGUCUAAUACUGGAUAUGAGAUGCCCCUGCAUGGGGAGUGUCUGGAAAGAUUUAUCGGUCUGGGAUGGACUCGCGGCCUAUCAGCUUGUUGGUGGGGUAAUGGCCUACCAAGGCGACGACGGGUAGCCGGCCUGAGAGGGCGACCGGCCACACUGGGACUGAGACACGGCCCAGACUCCUACGGGAGGCAGCAGUGGGGAAUAUUGCACAAUGGGCGCAAGCCUGAUGCAGCGACGCCGCGUGAGGGAUGAAGGCCUUCGGGUUGUAAACCUCUUUCAGCAGGGAAGAAGCGCAAGUGACGGUACCUGCAGAAGAAGCGCCGGCUAACUACGUGCCAGCAGCCGCGGUAAUACGUAGGGCGCAAGCGUUGUCCGGAAUUAUUGGGCGUAAAGAGCUCGUAGGCGGUUUGUCGCGUCUGGUGUGAAAACUCAAGGCUCAACCUUGAGCUUGCAUCGGGUACGGGCAGACUAGAGUGCGGUAGGCGUGACUGGAAUUCCUGGUGUAGCGGUGGAAUGCGCAGAUAUCAGGAGGAACACCGACGGCGAAGGCAGGUCACUGGGCCGCAACUGACGCUGAGGAGCGAAAGCAUGGGGAGCGAACAGGAUUAGAUACCCUGGUAGUAUCAUGCCGUAAACGUUGGGCACUAGGUGUGGGGCUCACUCCACGA